RNAcentral lists this ribosomal RNA (484 nucleotides) under uncultured bacterium. Its description in RNAcentral is "partial 16S ribosomal RNA". It matches the Rfam family "Bacterial small subunit ribosomal RNA", at positions 30 to 507 of the family's 1533-position model. The record is from RNAcentral.
AUUGAACGCUGGCGGAAGGAAGAACACAGGCAAGUCGAGCGGAUGAAGGGAGCUUGCUACUGGAUUAAGAGGCGGACGGGUGAGUAAUGCCUAGGAAUCUGAAUGGUAGUGGGGGAUAACGUCCGGAAACGGGCGCUAAUACCGCAUACGUCCUGAGGGAGAAAGUGGGGGAUCUUCGGACCUCACGCUAUCAGAUGAGCCUAGGUCGGAUUAGCUAGUUGGUGGGGUAAAGGCCUACCAAGGCGACGAUCCGUAACUGGUCUGAGAGGAUGAUCAGUCACACUGGAACUGAGACACGGUCCAGACUCCUACGGGAGGCAGCAGUGGGGAAUAUUGGACAAUGGGCGAAAGCCUGAUCCAGCCAUGCCGCGUGUGUGAAGAAGGUCUUCGGAUUGUAAAGCACUUUAAGUUCGGAGGAAGGGCAGUAAGUUAAUACCUUGCUGUCUUGACGUUACCAACAGAAUAAGCACCGGCUAACUUCGUC